CCCAGGUCUUCGAUGACUUUUUUUUUUUUAAUGCCAGGUCUGUGAUUGAACCCCACAUCUUUAGUCACUUAAUAUAAACACUAAAUUCCUAUGUAUUUGGUUUUCAUUACAUUUUCAUUUCCUUGGUUUUCAGCGUACACACACACACACACGCUGUUAACUUCGGGUGGUGUGUUGACAUGCACACAGGUUUGGUGUUGUACUGUAAAUGACCGACAUCUCCGCCCGACGACGGGUGGUGACAUGCAUGUAAACACAUUUCCAUCCAAUCUGAAUGUGUACGUCUGCUGUGACGGCAAAGGCCAGAGGGAGGUUUAUGUGACGAAGGACCAGGACCAGAAAUGUUGGUGACCCUGGUACAGGUUGAACUCUGCUUUGUUUUGUCUGAAACUAGAAGAAAAGAAAAAGCAGCCGAUUGUUUGUCUCUCUGUGUAUCUUCUCAACUCUCUCUCUUUCUGCUGCUUGCUUUUACUUUUUUUUGCCAAACUCAGUUCAAACCUGCUAAACUGAAUAUGUAGUGUUUCCUCUGACUAGUUGCUAAAUCAUUGCUAACCCAGUUGUUUGUUCUAUGCAGCGAUUUCAAUUAUUUUGACUUCAUCUCCCUGUUGGGAAACGUAGACACCUAUUUCCUGGUGGCAAGUUGUACUGUUGAACGUAGAACCAGAGAUUUGCUCUGAGCCUUCAUUUUUAAAUCGUAUUUUCUUUGUGCGACCCACAACUGCAGCCCUGAACACUUGACCGUCUCUUCUCAAAAUUAGGUAUUUAGUUUAGGCCGCGGUCGUACGUGGGCUGCAUUUCCACAGAGUGAUACUUCACAUUCCUGUUUUCGGCUCACAUGCUGUGUUCUCUUUUUCUUAUUGUGAUGACAAUUGUUUAUUCCCAUUAAAGCCACAUUUUUGAUGGGAUUUCCAAAGGGGUGUCUUGUUGGACAAAGUUUCUACAUUUUGUGGUGUUGUAUAGUUUUUACUCCUAUUUUGACCAUGUUUUAAUUUUCUCUUUUUUCUACAGAUUAUAUUACAUUAGGCAAGAAGUUGUUAGAAUUUUUCUUCAAACACUGAUAAUGAUCUUCAUAGGCUUUCCAACUCUUCUUCUUCAUAUACAUACAACAUAUUCCAUUGUACACUAAUAAAGCUGUUUUACUUCAGAUUGAAA
Molecule: long non-coding RNA, 1152 nt
Organism: Cynoglossus semilaevis (tongue sole)
Lineage: Eukaryota; Metazoa; Chordata; Actinopteri; Pleuronectiformes; Cynoglossidae
Exons: 2
Source: RefSeq, a predicted model, not a curated record